Molecule: long non-coding RNA, 1408 nt
Filed under: Homo sapiens (human)
Lineage: Eukaryota; Metazoa; Chordata; Mammalia; Primates; Hominidae
Description: HSALNT0398359
Source: RNAcentral
ACUGCACUCCAGCCUGAGCAACAGAGCAAGACUGUCUCCAAAAAAAAAAAAAAAAAAAGUAUAUUUUCUAGCUGUUUGGCUUUAGCUUAAAUUACACAAGUGGAAAGAAAUAUAAUGUUGCCUCUGUGUCUUUUCCAUGUUUUUCUCCCACUCGAAUGUGGGGUGUCUCUCCCCCAUCCCACCUGGAGGUCUUUUGUAUGGAAGGAACCAGCCGGUCUAGGUGGCUCCUGGGACACCCCAGGUCCAAGCUCUGGUUGGCCGCUCCCUGGGCUGGAACAGUGACGUAUUGUUGCCCCCUGGUGGCCACGGAGCACCAUAACGGGCAGGAAAACAAGAGAAAUUCUUGCUCUUGCCAAGACAGACAUGGGGAAUUUCGAAGGCCCGCCUUCUGAACGUCACCUCGUCCCCUCUUCCUUGGUCCAGUGAGAAGUCCAGAUGCUUCCCUUGGGGAUGCCCAGAACACAGCCUGGGAUGAUGAGGAGAGGCGGGAGAGCUUCCUAGGAGAUGCUAAUCAGGGCAUGUGCAAACUCCAUCUUCAUUCAUUAACAAACUAAUCCGUGGCCCGGCCUGGUGACUCAUGCUUGUAAUCCCAGCACUUUGGGAGGCCGAGGGCCCUGGAGCACCACCGUCCCUCCCCUAGGCCCAGGAUGUGAUUCUGAAUCUACAGUCAGACUGGACCACCUCUCCCCCAUGCCCCCAGAAUGUCCACAGGGGCUCCCUCGCCUACAAUAGAUGGAUUAGAUUCCUCCCUACUCUUCCCACACUGUCAGAGUCUGACUGGUGUGAAGUUCCGGUGUUUUUGUGUGUAUUUUACUACCAGGGUCGGCUAGAUAAGGAGGAGCUUUCAUUACAUCCUGGAAGUCUGUCCCCCGCACACACGCACAGCCGUCCUCCCUUCCCCCAACAUCUGAUCUAAUUCUCUCUCUGCUUUGCUGAGGCUGGCCUGGCCUAAGAGGAUUAGAGCAUUUGCUAAACGGGACCAGGACAGGCAGGGUCAGAGAACCCGCUGUGGGGAGACCCAGGGCCAGGAUGGCCACUAGGGGGCGGCAGAGGAAGCGAGACGCGGAGAGGGGUGUGGAGUGCUGAGGAGAGGCACUCGUCGGCUUAGCAGCAAUCAAUGUCCACAAAGUAACCAUGAAGUUUUAUUCAUUUUUAAAUUUACAAUGUCCAGCUAAGUUAUGAGAAUUCAAAAGAAUUGAACUAGGUUCCUGGAAACAAAAUAAACAGAUCAACUGAAUUCUAUGUGCAAGACAAACAUUUUUUUAAAAUAAGAAAUUUAAAAUACCAUGUAAAAUAUCAGACAAUAAUAAAAAUGAAGUGCAAGAAAUAAAUCUACAGAAAGAUGCAUGCAAGAGCUCUGUGAUUAAAUAAUAACAUUUCAGCCAGGCACGGUGGCUCGCGCCUGUAA